UGGGGAAUCUUGGACAAUGGGCGCAAGCCUGAUCCAGCCAUGCCGCGUGAGUGAAGAAGGCCUUAGGGUCGUAAAGCUCUUUCGCCUGUGAUGAUAAUGACAGUAGCAGGUAAAGAAACCCCGGCUAACUCCGUGCCAGCAGCCGCGGUAAUACGGAGGGGGUUAGCGUUGUUCGGAAUUACUGGGCGUAAAGCGCGCGUAGGCGGAUUGGAAAGUUGGGGGUGAAAUCCCGAGGCUCAACCUCGGAACUGCCUUCAAAACUCCCAGUCUAGAGUUCGAGAGAGGUGAGUGGAAUUCCAAGUGUAGAGGUGAAAUUCGUAGAUAUUUGGAGGAACACCAGUGGCGAAGGCGGCUCACUGGCUCGAUACUGACGCUGAGGUGCGAAAGUGUGGGGAGCAAACAGGAUUAGAUACCCUGGUAGUCCACACCGUAAACGAUGAAUGCCAGUCGUCGGGCAGUAUACUGUCCGGUGACACACCUAACGGAUUAAGCAUUCCGCCUGGGGAGUACGGUCGCAAGAUUA
This 523-nucleotide ribosomal RNA is filed under the name uncultured bacterium. RNAcentral describes it as "bacterial SSU rRNA". It matches the Rfam family "Bacterial small subunit ribosomal RNA", at positions 355 to 896 of the family's 1533-position model. The record is from RNAcentral.